CCUACGGGAGGCAGCAGUGAGGAAUAUUGGUCAAUGGGCGGAAGCCUGAACCAGCCAAGUAGCGUGCAGGAUGACGGCCCUACGGGUUGUAAACUGCUUUUAUACGGGAAUAACGCGCCUUACGUGUAGGGCUUUGCAUGUACCGUAUGAAUAAGGACCGGCUAAUUCCGUGCCAGCAGCCGCGGUAAUACGGAGGGUCCGGGCGUUAUCCGGAUUUAUUGGGUUUAAAGGGAGCGUAGGCCGCAUGUCAAGCGUGCGGUGAAAUGUCCGGGCUCAACCCGGGCCUUGCCGGGCGAACUGGCGGGCUUGAGUACGCGGAAGGCAGGCGGAAUUCGUGGUGUAGCGGUGAAAUGCUUAGAUAUGACGAAGAACCCCGAUUGCGAAGGCAGCUUGCUGCGGCGGAACUGACGCUGAUGCUCGAAAGCGCGGGGAUCGAACAGGAUUAGAUACCCUUGUAGUC
Molecule: ribosomal RNA, 460 nt
Filed under: uncultured bacterium
Lineage: Bacteria
Description: partial 16S ribosomal RNA
Rfam family: Bacterial small subunit ribosomal RNA
Source: RNAcentral